AACUGGACUAUUGGGUUAGCAUCUAAAGAUGGUCCAAGUUUUUUCUCUUAAAGCUACCCUUUUUCUCUAACUUUUCUGCCUGGGUUUCAUGGUGGCAUCCCCUGGGAUGCAUGUAUUUUAAUUUAUCACCCUUCAUUUUCAGGAAGCAUGGUUCUGGCCCAGAGAUCAGAUACUUGAAUAGAAAACAAGGCUGGGUGCUUUUCUACUUUGUUGUUGUACAUAUGGGCAUCCAUAACACACCAUUUUUAUUUAUUUUUUUAGCAGUUCUUGAUUGGUGGUUCUGUGUUGGUAAAUGGGAGAGCUAAUAGGCCAACUCCAAUUCACAGAGGAGAAGAAAAGGAUCAGUAGGCUCAGUUAUUCAGUUUCAUCCCAUCAAAUUCUCUUCAAUCAAAAUCAACCCCACAGAGCUCACUUAUUUUCUAACUCUUCCACUUUGUUGAGUAUGUCUUCAGGGUGACAUUUGCUUAGUAUGUCCCAUAUGUGUGUGAAUGACUGUAGGAAUAUAUGAUAAAAACAUUAAGUAUCUCUUAGAAAUUACCUUACACAUUGGUUCCCUUUUACUUUGGAGAGUUUUAAAUUCAAGGCAUUUUUUGAGGUAAGGCUCACUAAUCUUCGGUGAUUGAUAACUGCUACAAAUGGAUACCCUGUAAGGAGAAUUCAAUACUUUUUUUUUUUUUUUUUUUGAGGUACGCGGGCCUCUCACUGUUGUGGCCUCUCCCGUUGUGGAGCACAGGCUCUGGACAUGCAGGCUCAGAGGCCAUGGCUCACGGGCCUAGCCGCUCCGUGGCAUGUGGGAUCUUCCCGGACUGGGGCACGAACCCGCGUCCCCUGCAUCAGCAGGCGGACUCUCAACCACUGCACCACCAGGGAAGCCCGAGAAUUCAGUACUUUUAAACAUGGCAGAAUCUAACAAACAGGCAGCAGAGAAAAACAAAAUGUUUUCUCAUUUACUAACCAGAAAACUUAGCUGAGAGUUGAAUUAAGGGUUGAAUUAUUCUGUUUUUUCAGUGAAAUGCAGUCUUACAAAUCAAAAUCACUUCUUACAAUCAGGAAAAACUCUGCAGUUGUUUCUGGAACAACUGAAUACCUGUUAUUUUUCUUAUCUUAGGGUAGAGGUUCAGUAUUCGCUUGGGAGAGAAAGGCAGUAAUUAACUUUGUUACUCUUCUUUUUCUUCAGAGGAAUCUUCUAGCAUGCCCAGUCUACCAUUAACUUCUCAAAUUUGUUAUCUGGGUGUCUUCUAGAGGCUCAAGAUGAUUUCCUUCCCUGUGUGGUGAAUUUUAGGCAUGAUCUAAAAGGGUAUCCAAAAGAUUCUUCCUUUUACUCUGAGCAGCAGUUGCCCGUGUCUCUUUAGUCUGAAUUAAACUGGCCGUGAAAAUGAGUGCUGUAUCCAGACAGGUCCAUGCUGAAAGUUUGUGAAUACCCUGGAGGAUGCUCUAGCUGUUGUAACUCAAAAGUGGGUCCUAUCCUACAGAGAGCUCCUUGACAAAACAACAGCUUCCAAAAGACUCAGCAAUGUUUGGUCUUUAAAGUGGAGUGUUGUUUAUGGAAUUUGUUUGUAGGCUUUAACUUUACCAGUCAGGUUUACUAAUAAAACAUUCACAUGUACUGGAAGUGAAACACAAUCAUCCUUGUCUCUUUUGGCCUGUCUAAUGCCUGUACCUGCAGGAAGUUCACACUGUAAGAACAGUUCUCAUAGGCAGGAGGUUAGAGUCUUCAGUUUUCCUACAUGAUUUGCUAACCCUCUGCUUACUAUAAAACCAUUACUCAAAUACCUUUAGACUUUACCAUAGUUAUUAAUCUGCUUGAUGCGAAACAACUUUUGUAUUUUUCUAGCUAAUGUAUUGUAUAAGCUAUAGGAGAACACGUGGGAAAUUUAUUGUCUGAAACAUAUGAUAGGAGGAACUGCUUUUUAAAGAGUUUUGUUUUUGUAUUCAUUUGAGAUAGAACAAGUUGAAGGAAUUAUUGGUUGAAGAAGUCAAAUGAUUUAAAUCAGAUCUUGUGUGUGAAUGCUUGCGUGCGUGUGUAUUUAUUGAAGAAAAUGUGUCUCAAUUUGAGAACUGGAAAAUUGGAUAUUUGAUUUUAAUUAUAUUUUUAUUUAUU
Molecule: long non-coding RNA, 2101 nt
Organism: Phocoena sinus (vaquita)
Lineage: Eukaryota; Metazoa; Chordata; Mammalia; Artiodactyla; Phocoenidae
Source: Ensembl